This 72-nucleotide transfer RNA is filed under the name Sus scrofa (pig). It matches the Rfam family "tRNA". From Rfam's summary of the family: Transfer RNA (tRNA) molecules are approximately 80 nucleotides in length. Lineage: Eukaryota; Metazoa; Chordata; Mammalia; Artiodactyla; Suidae. The record is from Rfam by way of RNAcentral.
UCCUUGUUAGUACAGUGGUGAGUAUCCCCGCCUGUCACACGUGAAACUGGGGUUCCAUUCCCCAGCGGGGGG